Long non-coding RNA from Suricata suricatta (meerkat), 512 nucleotides. RefSeq lists it as uncharacterized. The record is from RefSeq and is a predicted model, not a curated record. The transcript has 2 exons. NCBI's taxonomy places the organism in Eukaryota, Metazoa, Chordata, Mammalia, Carnivora, Herpestidae.
GGAGGCUGGAGAAGAUUACAGAGGCACAGGGAACUUUUAUGGGUGAUGGAUAUGUUCCCCAUCUUAACAGGCUGGAUGGUUUUAUGGCAGGGUCUUUUAUCUGGAAGGAUUCACUGUGUUCCGCUGCCUGGAACUAUUCUGGGAGGGGACAAAGACAAGCUUUCAUCUCGGGAAGGAAAUGGAACCACAUCUACAAGGCGUAAGGAAGAGUCAGAGCUGUUAACAAAAAAACCUCCGAGUCUUUCUCUGCCAGAAGGAAGAGGUGAAUAGAAACUAGGAAGCCCCCUUUCACUGAAGGCCUGAGAGCAAAUUCCGGUGGGGAAGCAGUCACUGGAGUCUUCGCCCAUACCACAUCUGUGAAGGCGGCAACUUGCUCUCUGCCUUUGUUCCAAGGUCUGCCUCCUCUCUCCACCACCGACUUUAUCCCUUCCCCAAACACUUCACCCAACCGAUGUCUUCUAUUUCCCUUCCUGUCCAAACCCAAGAAACUUAAACUAAAACAUAUGGUGGAA